ACUCCUACGGGAGGCAGCAGUGGGGAAUCUUAGACAAUGGGCGCAAGCCUGAUCUAGCCAUGCCGCGUGAGUGAUGAAGGCCUUAGGGUCGUAAAAGCUCUUUCGCCAGGGAUGAUAAUGACAGUACCUGGUAAAGAAACCCCGGCUAACUCCGUGCCAGCAGCCGCGGUAAUACGGAGGGGGUUAGCGUUGUUCGGAAUUACUGGGGCGUAAAGCGUACGUAGGCGGAUUAGUCAGUUAGAGGUGAAAUCCCAGGGCUCAACCCUGGAACUGCCUUUAAUACUGCUAGUCUUGAGUUCGAGAGAGGUGAGUGGAAUUCCGAGUGUAGAGGUGAAAUUCGUAGAUAUUCGGAGGAAUACCAGUGGCGAAGGCGGCCCCCUGGACAAAGACUGACGCUCAGAUGCGAAAGCGUGGGGAGCAAACAGGAUUAGAUACCCUGGUAGGCUCUGC
This 450-nucleotide ribosomal RNA is filed under the name uncultured bacterium. RNAcentral describes it as "bacterial SSU rRNA". It matches the Rfam family "Bacterial small subunit ribosomal RNA", at positions 335 to 800 of the family's 1533-position model. The record is from RNAcentral.